CCCUUAGACGUUCUGGGCCGCACGCGCGCUACACUGACACAGGCAACGAGCUUUCCUUUACCGAAAGGUAUGGGUAAUCUUUUGAAACUGUGUCGUGCUGGGGAUAGAUCCUUGCAAUUUUUGAUCUUAAACGAGGAAUUCCUAGUAAGUGCAAGUCAACAGCUUGCGUUGAUUACGUCCCUGCCCUUUGUACACACCGCCCGUCGCUACUACUGAUUGGAUGUUUAAGCGAGGUUCUCGAACUGCUAGUGACUGAUCUUCGGUGAGGUCGCAGUGUGGGAAGUGAACCUAGCUUUGGUGUCUAGAGGAAGUAAAAGUCGUAACA
Molecule: ribosomal RNA, 325 nt
Filed under: uncultured eukaryote
Lineage: Eukaryota
Description: partial 18S ribosomal RNA
Rfam family: Eukaryotic small subunit ribosomal RNA
Source: RNAcentral